AGUUAAGUUAAGUUUUAAGUUCUACGGCUUCGACUACCAGGGCCAUUAGCCGUGUGAAUUAAAGCUCAAUGUGAGAUCACUUUCUUCUUCUGCUGUAUAUGGGCAAAAGUAAAUAUUUCAUUUCGACUAACAUAAUAAGACAUGAACGUGUAGAUAUAAAAUAAAUAAAUAUAUACAUAAAUAGUAAAAUAUAAACAAUAUUUACAACAUAUACAAUAUAGGGAUAACUCUGGUAAAAUAAUUUAGAUGGAAGUAUAUAUAAAAUAAAUAAAUAUAUAAAUAAAAUUAUAAAAUAUAAACAAUAUGUACAAUAUAUUCCAUAUGCAAUGAGUUACAAAUGUUCAGUUGAAAGAGAAAAGCCUAGUCAACACAAAUGGAAUGCCUCUUGAGACAGAUUAUCUUUCAGUGUUAAUCUGAUGUUGAAGUUUUCUCUAAUUAAGGAAUAUUCGGGACAUUCACAUAUAAGGUGAGUUAUUGUUAACAUUUCACCACAGUGCUCACAUUGUGGUUGACUUUCCCUUCUCAGAAGAUAUCCAUGUGUGAGUUGAGUGUGACCAAUACGAAGACGGUGUAUUUUGGUCAUCUGCUCUCUGGAAAGAUUGA
Molecule: long non-coding RNA, 603 nt
Organism: Harmonia axyridis
Lineage: Eukaryota; Metazoa; Arthropoda; Insecta; Coleoptera; Coccinellidae
Exons: 2
Source: RefSeq, a predicted model, not a curated record